This is a long non-coding RNA of Herpailurus yagouaroundi (jaguarundi), 1662 nucleotides long. RefSeq lists it as uncharacterized. The record is from RefSeq and is a predicted model, not a curated record. Lineage: Eukaryota; Metazoa; Chordata; Mammalia; Carnivora; Felidae. The transcript has 2 exons.
UAUAUGUUAACUAACUAGAAUUUAAAUUAAAACUACAAAAAAAAAAAAAAAAAAAGAGAGAGAGAGAAAAGAAUAGAACUGGAUUAUCACUAUUCUGAUUUUGGAUCUCCCUCCCAUACAUGAAAAUAAAUCCUAAAAUAAUAAUAGUCUUUUAAUACCUAUGUGUUAAAUGAGCUUAAAUUAAUAAAACACUUUAGGUCAUGUUUCUGGGUGUAUUAAGUCAAAUUACCCUAAUCUUGAAAUUUUAGGGUUAUACCCAAUUGAUGAUCUUUGCAUUCAUGUCUGGCAAAGUUUAUCUUGUCAUUUUAUUUGCUGAAAAAACAUAGACACCCCACAGCCAUCUAUUCACAAAAACUGAAGGGUGAAAAGUCUACUCAGGAUAGGAAAAAAAGUCAAUAUGCUGUUUCAGGACACAAAAGUAAUAAGAAAACACAGCCCUAAAACACAGUUUGAGAAAUUCAAAACAGACAUUAAACAGCUAAUUUCUGUUCUUUUCAUCUGAAUGAAAGAUGAAAGUAUAAAAACCUUCCAAAACAUAGUAUUUCACGUGUCAACGCUCAUUGUGAUUUUUAAUCUAUAACAUGGAACCGAAUAAAUUCAACAAUGUAGAAAGAGCACAUAAUAGAUUCCAACCUAUAAAACAAACACUCUAGUCACAUUUGACUUGAUUUAAAAAUUGUAGUAUUUUUAUCGUCUGUUUUCAUGGAAUUACAAAGAUAACUAAACCAAUUGACUGGAAUAAUGUCAUGGUUUUUCCAUGGCACACACUACUGACUUCUUUAUCAAUACAAUCAGUGUUAGAAAUAAAAAAUAAAAUGGUUUCCAUUCAAAAUUUGUAAAAUAGGUUCAACAUAUUAUAUGGCGUAGAUACUUUCUUGUAUAUAAAAACAAGUUUUCUUGCUAUAUUUGUGGUUGGAAUUCUCUGCGUAAGCUACUUACAGGUAAUCUCAUAUGCAUUAUUAUUUAUUCAACAAAUACUGAUGUCCCUACAUAUGAGCCAGGCACAGUUCUUGAUACAGAAAAUAGUGCAGAGAAUAAAAUACAUAAGCAUUCCUGCCUUCAUGAAGUUUACAUUCCAGUGGAGAGGAGAAAGACAAUAAACCAAGCUGCCGGCAGCAAGCAUCUUUCAGAGCCAAGCACGAUGUCCCAUUUGCUGAGAUUUAUGGGAGAAAGCAGAUGUGAAACUUCCCCUGGAUGCACUCCUAUGAAGAUGCGAGGUCUCUCAACCCCUAACUUGCUGCCCAAAGGGGAUCUCGCCUGGGAAUGAAGCCUGCACCAGACAGAUCAAAAGGGGGACAACACUGGAACCCUACAACAAACCACGAGUAAAGCCAGAUUUAGGAUCAACCACCACUAGGUCACUGCAAGCCAACUGCUGGAAUGUCCAUCCUUUGUGGCCAAAUUAGCCCACGUUCUCUCUCCUCUUCAAUGAUGUCCUUUCAUGGCUUCCUCCAGCAUGAGUAGGAGGGUCAGGUGGAGAGACCGCGAACACUCCUUAAAAUAUUGUUAGAAUGCAAAACGAAAAUGGUUCCAUAAAGUCUAAAUAGUGAAAAGAAAAAUAAUUCUGGCGAACUGUUGAUAAAUUUGCUUGCUUCCCUUGAAGUUGGCUUUGCCAACAGAAUUUUCAACCAUGUGAGCUAAUAAAUUCCCUUUUAGCCCAAA